AGUGAACGCUGGCGGUAGGCCUAACACAUGCAAGUCGAACGGCAGCACAGUAAGAGCUUGCUCUUACGGGUGGCGAGUGGCGGACGGGUGAGGAAUACAUCGGAAUCUACUUUUUCGUGGGGGAUAACGUAGGGAAACUUACGCUAAUACCGCAUACGACCUACGGGUGAAAGCAGGGGAUCUUCGGACCUUGCGCGAUUGAAUGAGCCGAUGUCGGAUUAGCUAGUUGGCGGGGUAAAGGCCCACCAAGGCGACGAUCCGUAGCUGGUCUGAGAGGAUGAUCAGCCACACUUGAACUGAGACACGGUCCAGACUCCUACGGGAGGCAGGAGUGGGGAAUAUUGGACAAUGGGCGCAAGCCUGAUCCAGCCAUACCGCGUGGGUGAAGAAGGCCUUCGGGUUGUAAAGCCCUUUUGUUGGGAAAGAAAAGCAGCAGGUUAAUACCCCGCUGUUCUGACGGUACCCAAAGAAUAAGCACCGGCUAACUUCGUG
RNAcentral lists this ribosomal RNA (492 nucleotides) under uncultured bacterium. RNAcentral's name for it is "partial 16S ribosomal RNA". It matches the Rfam family "Bacterial small subunit ribosomal RNA", at positions 29 to 507 of the family's 1533-position model. The record is from RNAcentral.